CCUACGGGAGGCAGCAGUAGGGAAUAUUGCACAAUGGGGGAAACCCUGAAGCAGCAACGCCGCGUGGAGGAUGAAGGCUUUCGGAUCGUAAAGUUCUGUCGUUAGGGAAGAUAAUGACGGUAUUUAACGAGUAAGCACCGGCUAACUCCGUGCCAGCAGCCGCGGUAAUACGUAGGGGGCUAGCGUUACUCGGAAUUACUGGGCGUAAAGAGCGCGUAGGCGGGUUUCUAAGUCAGAUGUGAAAUCCUAUGGCUUAACCCUAAGUAUGCAUUUGAAACUGUUAUUCUUGAGUCUAGGAGAGGUGAGUGGAAUUCUUGGUGUAGGGGUGAAAUGCGUAGAUAUUAAGAGGAACA
This 353-nucleotide ribosomal RNA is filed under the name uncultured bacterium. RNAcentral's name for it is "partial 16S ribosomal RNA". It matches the Rfam family "Bacterial small subunit ribosomal RNA", at positions 338 to 708 of the family's 1533-position model. The record is from RNAcentral.